This 1958-nucleotide long non-coding RNA is filed under the name Citrus x clementina. RNAcentral describes it as "Citrus clementina (C. clementina) long non-coding RNA (CCLE_LNC000986)". Lineage: Eukaryota; Viridiplantae; Streptophyta; Magnoliopsida; Sapindales; Rutaceae. The record is from RNAcentral.
UAUAUAUCCAUUACCUAAUUAUAAAGAAUUCAUUAUUUGUUAGCAUCCCUACAUUCGUUCUCUAAGUGAACGAAUUCAUGUUUUUUUUAAAUUAAUACUUCAUUCAAAAACAAAAAAAGAAAAGAAAAGAAAAAAACAUUACAAAAAAACUACAAUUUCUGAAAGUGCAUUCUCCAAUUAAUUAGAGAGUCACCCCUCCAAGGCAUAUUCAAUUUCAAAUGUCGGUGGCUCAGCUAACUUCUUGGUAGAUGUCGGUGGCUCAGCUUCUAGAGACGUGAUUAAUCUCUUGUUUUUGUUAAGGGAAAAGGUUGAUCAGAAAUUUGUAACUCGAAGGAAGAAGCUCUAUAUUUUCAUCCACAACGUAACUUUUGAAUCCAAAUGGAAACGAUAAACUAGCAAUUAUUAAAUUAACAAAAGUAGUUUUAAAUGAUAUUCUAUUUGAAUCAAAAGUUUCUACAUUUACUUGAUGAAUCCAUCAUUGUGUCAUUUCUGCAUGAAUUAUUAUCGCAUGCAAUAUCUAGUACUUCAAGAGCUUUUUGUUAGUGCUUUGGUGGCGACAUGAAUAAGAAUUUCAAUCAAAGUCAUGUAUCUGAAAUGAUGGCUUUUUGUGUAUUGGGUUGGAGGAUUCACUUCAACAAAUUGCCGUUUUCUUGUGAUCUUUUCCAUUAACGCAGUAUUAAUUUUCAAAAGAAAAAAAAAAGGGAAUUGUUCAUAAAGAAAGAAGUUGGAAAAAGAUUGAAUUAAGGAUAGUUUUGGAAGAAUGUAAGUGUCAUUAUAAGUAACAAAUUCUUAUAAUCAAUUAAUGAGUUUCUUUUUUUAGAAGAGAUGUUUUAUCAAAAAUUUAAAGUGGUGUCAAUAGUCUCUCUCUUUCUUAAAUGUGUAUUAAUAUCUAAAGCAACAAAGUUGUGUCGCUGUUGAAAUUUGAACCAAGUUCCCAAAGUUACUAAAUGAUAGUCUUACCAUUAAAAAAAUAAGCAUUUUAAUUUAUUUGAAAUAAGUUCAAUUUCUUUUUAUUUAAAUCUUUCAAAAGAGGAUUAGGGCAUACUAAAAGGAAAAUAUAAUUGUCUAGAAGAGGCUCCUCCUAGGGACUUAACUGGAUUCAUCCUGCGUGCCACCAAGCGGCAUUUAACUAUCGAAAAAGUAAGUUUAAUGAGAAGUUUUGAGUUUAAAUAUCCUCACCUCUUCAAGAGAAAAAAUAAUAUAUUUCUUUUUAGAGUAGAGCUAUUUGGGCCUUAAAAGUUCUUGAUUUGAACAUCAUUUUAUUUAGAAUACCUAUUAGUCAAAUUUUAUAAAAAAAAAAAAAAACCUCAUUUAAGUAAUUUUUAUUAAAUAUAAAUAAGUGAACAUUUUUCAAAUAAAUAAAUACAUUUUAAGUAAAAAAAUUAACUACACAUUAUUGAAAACCUGCUUUUCCAAACAAAUUACUAAACAUGUUUUUUCCAUUUUCUUUUCAUGUAGUACUUUUUUUUUUUGAAAAGUUUUCAUGUAGUACUUAAGAACAAAUUAACGAAUACUUUUUCAAAUAUAUAAAAACUCCGAUCAAGAACUUUUUUUUUGUGAAAUAAAUUUAAAAAAUGCCAUAGAAAUGCAAUACCAAGCACACCCUAGUUGGCCCCUAUUCCUGAAGAUUGAAAGAUACGUGCUCUUUUUGAUCUAACAACACAGAAAACGAUAUGCAACUGCAUAACCACAUUGCUUAAAACACAUUAAUGGGCGGCAAAAAGUACCAGCCGUGUCACCAAUCAAAUUUUGACUAAUGUAUGCAUGUGAUAGAGCCUUAUUCACUCAUAAGACUGAGCCAGUUCUAAAUUUGUAGCUAUUUAAAACCAAAAUUAAAUGGAGAGCUGUGCAACCUUCGCAGACCAACCACCAUUUUAGAUAAGGGAAUUAUUUCUGAAUUCACAUAAAUAUCUAAUCACCACAUAAUUUUAACAUAUUUUCUGUACUAUCUUUAUUUU